This 465-nucleotide ribosomal RNA is filed under the name uncultured bacterium. Its description in RNAcentral is "partial 16S ribosomal RNA". It matches the Rfam family "Bacterial small subunit ribosomal RNA", at positions 339 to 795 of the family's 1533-position model. The record is from RNAcentral.
CUACGGGACGCACCAGUGGGGAAUAUUGGACAAUGGGGGAAACCCUGAUCCAGCAAUGCCGCGUGUGUGAAGAAGGCCUGCGGGUUGUAAAGCACUUUCGGUUGGGAGGACUGCUUCUAGCACUAAUAUUGUUGGAAGUUGACGUUACCUUCAGAAGAGGCACCGGCUAACUCCGUGCCAGCAGCCGCAGUAAUACGGAGGGUGCAAGCGUUAAUCGGAAUUACUGGGCGUAAAGCGCGCGUAGGCGGCUAGAUCAGUCGGGUGUGAAAGCCCCGGGCUUAACCUGGGAACUGCAUCCGAUACUGGCUAGCUUGAGUACAGGAGAGGAGAGUGGAAUUCCACAUGUAGCGGUGAAAUGCGUAGAUAUGUGGAGGAACACCAAUGGCGAAGGCAGCUCUCUGGCCUGAUACUGACGCUGAGGUGCGAAAGCGUGGGGAGCAAACAGGAUUAGAUACCCCGGUAGUC